Molecule: ribosomal RNA, 555 nt
Filed under: Osprynchotus gueinzii
Lineage: Eukaryota; Metazoa; Arthropoda; Insecta; Hymenoptera; Ichneumonidae
Description: partial 16S large subunit ribosomal RNA
Rfam family: Bacterial large subunit ribosomal RNA (bases 408-555)
Source: RNAcentral
UCGCCUGUUUUAUCAAAAACAUGUCUUAGUGAAAAUAAUUUUAAGUCUGAUCUGCUCCAUGAUUAAUUUUAAAUAGCUGCAGAAUUCUAACUGUACAAAGGUAGCAAAAUCAUUAGUUUUUUAAUUAAAAGCUGGAAUGAAAGAUUUGAUAAGGUGAAAGUUGUCUCAAAUUUAAUGGUAUUAAAAUUUUUUGUUUAGUAAAAAUACUAAAAUGGAAUUAAAAGACGAGAAGACCCUAUAGAUUUUUAUAUUUUAAAUUAAAUUAAAUUAAAAAGUUAAAAUGAAAUUUAAUUGCAAAAUAUUAGGUUGGGGAAAUUAUUAAAUUUAAAAAAUUUUAAUUAAAUUAAAACAUUAAUUUAUGAUAAAUUGAUCUUAAAUUUUAAAUCAUGAGAAUAAAAUACCUUAGGGAUAACAGCGUAAUUUUUUUGGAGAGCUCUUAUUGAUAAAAAAGAUUGCGACCUCGAUGUUGAAUUAAGAUAAAAUUUUAAUGAAGAAGUUAAUAAUUUUUGGUCUGUUCGACCAUUAAAAUCUUACGUGAUCUGAGUUCAGACCGGA